This is a long non-coding RNA of Cyprinus carpio (common carp), 497 nucleotides long. RefSeq lists it as uncharacterized. The record is from RefSeq and is a predicted model, not a curated record. Lineage: Eukaryota; Metazoa; Chordata; Actinopteri; Cypriniformes; Cyprinidae. The transcript is spliced from 3 exons.
AUCUCUCUUUUGGUUAAGUGGAGGGGAACAGAGUGUUUGACAGGUUCCUGCGGUGUACUCGCUCGACUCAGCUGUUUAGGAAUUUCCCCUGCAUGCUUGACUUCCUCUCAGUGUGCUGAUUCUGAUUGGUGGAGAGAAAGGAGACAGGAAGUGUUCAAUAACAGGUGCUUGCAGAUAAAGCAUGCUGAGAACAAGUCUGUGUGUGUGUUUUUAAGGGUGACACAUCAGGAGACUAUCGUAAAACCCUUUUGAUUAUCUGUGGAGGUGAGGAUUAGAACACUGUCCAUUGUCCUGGAUCUGUUACAUGAUCUUCAUGUCUAGUAACUAGUGCACUGUGUACCCAUUUGUUGUUUGUGAGAUGCUAGUCAACAUACAGUCUUUGUGCCCUCUGCUGCUGCUGCUGCCAUGCCUAUGCCAAAGCUAAUGUGUAAUGACCUAUGCAGAAGCCACACCUUGUCCUACUUUUGAAGUCGUGCACUAAACACGUUUUUUUUUUU